Molecule: transfer RNA, 68 nt
Filed under: Serritermes serrifer
Lineage: Eukaryota; Metazoa; Arthropoda; Insecta; Blattodea; Serritermitidae
Description: tRNA-Met
Source: RNAcentral
AGAAAAGUAAGCUAAGUGUUAAGCUAAUGGGCUCAUACCCCACCAAUAGAGGCCUCCUCUCUUCUCUA